RNAcentral lists this ribosomal RNA (200 nucleotides) under uncultured bacterium. Its description in RNAcentral is "partial 16S ribosomal RNA". It matches the Rfam family "Bacterial small subunit ribosomal RNA", at positions 524 to 723 of the family's 1533-position model. The record is from RNAcentral.
CACGUAGGAGACUAGCGUUAUUCGGAUUUACUGGGCGUAAAGCGCGUGUAGGCGGUUCGGUAAGUUGGAUGUGAAAGCUCCUGGCUUAACUGGGAGAGGUCGUUCAAAGCUACCGGACUUGAGAGUGGUAGAGGGAGUUGGAAUUCCGGGUGUAGUGGUAAAAUGCGUAGAUAUGCGGAGGAACACCGAUGGCGAAGGCA